AGACGCGGGGCGACCGGGACACAGAAAAGUGAGUAAGUAACAGAAUAGAUGGUCAACCCAUCUGGACAACGAAGGCCACGUUUACAGAGGUGUUUUUGCUGCGUCUAGUUCGUGUCUGUAUCAUCAAUAACACAUUCGUUUUCAUAAAUACAAAAUCUACGCUUAGAGAACCGACUUGUUACUGCUUCAUUGGCAGUCAUUGUUAAAGCUAACUCGGGUUUAGGCUUACAGGUGAAAUACACAUCAUCAUCACCAGAAUACUACGUUAUAAUAAUAAUAAUAAUACGUUAACAAGUAUGUUAUUUGUGAUUCUCUGACGGUCUGUAGCCCGAGAGACGCGCUACGUUUGCGCCACCGCGUCCGGACCGGGGACUUCAUCCUGGACCUGCAAACAUAAAACCAACCGCUUCAGCUUGAAUUCCCUAAACAGACAAGCGUUGACAGGAAUAGACCAAUGUAGUGAUGGAGGGAUGUGACUGUCACAUGUUUUCAGUAUAAUAUACACCGCCCUUCUAUUUCUAUCUCCACCCCUCCGUCAAGUGUCAAUUCUGCUCCACCGCAAUCAAUCAGUUAUUUGUCAGACGCUGUCAAUCCACCGCUUGAUUUAUGUCAGCUAUUGUGGCUGAUUACAUGCCACUGUGACUGCGGGGGGGAAGAACAAAUGGGUAGAGACAAUUCGGCAAGAAGACACCAAGUUUCCAGGGGAAAUAAAUCGAUCCUCGAGUUAACAUUUCAUUUUUAGACGCAUCGCCAAUCGCCGACCUCCCCCCCCCCAAAGUCCAAAAGCAGAGGAUUAAACUAGGUUUCCAUUCUUCUCUGCCCCCCCACAAAAGUCUAUAACUUUUUAGUUCAUCAUCAAACAACCCCGGAGGUGGCACACAUGGUGACAUGUUAACUCUCAGUGCAGCUCACUGUGUGCAGCUGGCAGGGCUUUAAGGUGUUAAAAUGCCUUUUUUUUUUUUUUUGCUGUAAUCGGCGUUAACAGAAAACGGGGAAACACAGUUAAACCGAAAAGCGUCCGAAACAAAUGAAAAAAAAAGAAACCCGUCAAAAAAGAACAGAUCACGUUAUUAAAUAAAAUAUAGUUGGAAUGAAUAAAUUAAUAUCCAUUAUUUAUGCUAUAUCAACUUUAGCCCUUUCAGACAGGUUUGCACAAACAAUCUGCGAGAAGAAGAAAAAAACAUUGAUUUGAAAAUUGAUAAUGUGUAAAACAUCACGGAACAGAACCCUGUCCAUUUUGGCUAAACACAUCUGCUAUUGUGUUUUUAGAACCUGUCAUCUGCCUCGGGCACACUGUCAUCUGCAACAAGAACAACAAAGACAGGGAACAAAAAAGAAGAAGAAAAUCCAGACAUUUUAUAUUGAUGUCAGCUCGAUUUUAUUUACAUACAAUGAAAAUGAUUUAUUUUUCUCAAAGAGAAGCGGACAGGGGAGAAAGAAAAGGGGAGAAAUGGUCUGUCAGGCCGCUGAGAAAAGAAGUUUAAAAUGCCUUGAACUAUUCACCGCUGAGAUGCCUAAUCAGUACUGAGGCUCCGGGGCAAUCGGGCAGCUUUUCAAUGCGGGUUUCCUUUCAUCUCAAUCGGGAUGGAGGCGCUCAAUUAAAAGCCUAUCAGUUUGUCAACUUGGAGAGCAUGAAAACCUGGAGUGGACAGUCGAAGGGGCUAAAUUAUAUUUCCUGGUGGAAAACAGACCAAACAAAACAAAAACAGCCGUGAUGGUUAAAAUUUAUUUGAGUUCAUAAUCUGCCAUGAAUACAAUGUAGAAUGAAAGUUGUGGUAAAUAAAUCAAAUACAGCAAAUUAUGUUUUUCCAUAAGAUAAAAAUAACAAUCUUUGGCAAAAAAUGUAGAAAUUAAACUGGCAAAAAAUAUUUUAGGUAAAAGUUGAAAAAAGCUUGGUUUCAGUUUACAGGCCUGCCUAUAGUCUGCAUGGGUGAGCACUACGUUGCAAACUAUGGACUGAUCAAUAAAAACAAGGAAUAAAUGAUUAAAUAAGUCAAUGUUGAGAUACUGCGUCAUAUAAAUGAACCGCAUUUAUUUUAAUGUGAGUUUAGAAGAGGGGGAACAACGUGUAAAGGAGUUGAGCUCUAUUCCCUCAAAUGUUUCCAUUGUUUUUGUCCUACAUGAGGGGGAGGGACGUUUCACAAUAUGCAAAGAUGUGUGAUUGAUAACAGGCUUGCUGUUUUCUGCAAGGACUGUCAGUCCGUGACACAAUAUGUGAGUUAUUAGGGCAAAGAAGGGCAACCAUAAAUUUUCCCUGUCAGGUGAAAACCCUCUUUAUUGUCCGCAUGACGAAUGGGCUUCUGCGCCAACAUUCUCGGCAUUCCCCUUAAAUGGGAACACAUUUUAGCGACUAUAAUUCCUGAUAUUUAAAUAGAAAGUUUUAAUAUCCGCAUAUAUUUUACAACACUGACAUGCUUAUGAAUCACUCUUUGCAUGCAAAUGAAAGAUUUACAUCUCGUGAAGGAGUGUGUUGGAUUUUAGGGUUUACUGUAAACUUGUUGCUAUGAAGCAACGUAUUUCAAUGUAAAUACACAUGAUACAAAUUAAAUGAUAAAAUUAACCCACUUUCCUAAGAGCACCUGCAUCUCACCUGAGCUAAAUGUAUCAUUUACAAAGUGGUCACAUUUUUAUUGGGCUUCGACUGUUGGAUCGCAUAACAUAAAGUUAUUCUUAUUCUAUUUAAGCUUUCGUUCAAUUAACAUUAAUUAUUUUGUGGCGAUCUUCCAGCCAUGAAACAAUUAAAAAAAAAAGACGCAGUAACGGAUGAAACGUGGCACAUAUGCACAGGAGAGUGUUACAACCUACAAGAAAGCACAUGCACGAAUUCCAAAAGAUUUCUCUAAAACUCCACGGAAAGAAGCACAGGUUUGCGGGGAAAGUCCCGUAACGUGACAUUACCUGGAAUCAUACUAAGCUCCGAUGUAAAGCGUCAGAGAGGACGAGGAUGGAAAAAAAA
This is a non-coding RNA of Gasterosteus aculeatus aculeatus (three-spined stickleback), 2956 nucleotides long. Lineage: Eukaryota; Metazoa; Chordata; Actinopteri; Perciformes; Gasterosteidae. The record is from RefSeq and is a predicted model, not a curated record.